AAUUUUAUGUUUGUUGAAUCGUGAAUGAAAAUCCUUCCUAAUGUGCAGGUGCUUGUUUGUUUGUCUUAUUUAACAUUGCCUCUUUCUUUCUGCCAGGAUUGUUUCGAUCCUAUAGUUGAAAAAAUAGGUUGUGAUCUGAUCCCUGCUAUGGACUACGGAAGAAAUGUAGUGGGUUAAGAAUUUGGUGGGAUGUAUUGUGCAAUUUUAACUGUAAAUUUAGAUGUUGUAUCAGCUGGAAUCCUUAGAAUAUUUGGUCAGGAUGUUGCUGAACUUCCUUUGGUCGCUACAAGUAAAGAAAGCCAAGGAAAGGUAAUGCAUUCAAGUUGAAAAGUAAAUGCUGAUUGUGAUGCACUUGGUUUUUUUUUACUGGCAUUGUUUUUUUUUAAAGUUUUUCUUAUGCUUAUGAUUUC
Molecule: long non-coding RNA, 410 nt
Organism: Magnolia sinica
Lineage: Eukaryota; Viridiplantae; Streptophyta; Magnoliopsida; Magnoliales; Magnoliaceae
Exons: 3
Source: RefSeq, a predicted model, not a curated record